This 503-nucleotide ribosomal RNA is filed under the name uncultured bacterium. Its description in RNAcentral is "partial 16S ribosomal RNA". It matches the Rfam family "Bacterial small subunit ribosomal RNA", at positions 28 to 523 of the family's 1533-position model. The record is from RNAcentral.
GAUGAACGCUGGCGGCGUGCCUAAUACAUGCAAGUCGAACGAAGAUCUAGCUUGCUAGAUCUUAGUGGCGAACGGGUGAGUAAUACAUAAAUAAUCUGCCCAUAUGACUGGGAUAACUAUUGGAAACGAUAGCUAAUACCGGAUAGGUUGAUCGGAGGCAUCUCUGAUGAAUUAAAGUAGGAUUUCUACACAAAUGGAUGAGUUUAUGGCGCAUUAGUUAGUUGGUGGGGUAACGGCCUACCAAGACGAUGAUGCGUAGCCGACCUGAGAGGGUGACCGGCCACACUGGGACUGAGACGCGGCCCAGACUCCUACGGGAGGCAGCAGUAGGGAAUUUUCGGCAAUGGGCGCAAGCCUGACCGAGCAACGCCGCGUGAGUGAUUAAGGCCUUCGGGUUGUAAAGCUCUGUUGUAAGGGAAGAACAUUCAGGAUAGGGAAUGAUCUUGAACUGACGGUACCUUACCAGAAAGCCACGGCUAACUACGUGCCAGCCGCCGCAGUAA